UAAACAGUAGCACUCUAACUCAAAGGGGAAGGGACACUAAUCCUGCAAAAUUUCAGACCCUCUUGCUAUUUCUCAAGAUCCUUCACCUUUUCUUUUUUAUGUACCUCAUAUAUAUAUUACUUUUAUCCUCAGUUCUCUACCUCCCAUGUAUAUCUUUUUAUUUUCAAAAUUCAUGGUGGGAAAAACGUCUUAUGCAUCUUCAUUUCCUGGUUUUUGAAUUCUGCUUUUCCAGCAAUAGUUCUCUGAUUUUACGUCAUCGUCAUCCUCCAUACUGUCGCCCCCCGUGCCUGCUAACUGAAGGGGACCUUGUGGUGAGCCGGAUUGAGAACUACAAGCCUUUGAUGAAUUGGCAUACGGAUCUUGAGGCACCACUAAUCCCCCAAGAACGACUACGGAUUGGUUUGCCGAGGCAACUGCAGAUGCUGGAAGUCUUCUUGCGUGGAGUCGGAAUUUCUGCAGAUGGCUCUUCACUUCGUCGUUGGUGAGGCCAUCUACCUGCAUAAGUUCUCUAAUCUGCUUCGGCGUGGCCACCUGUGAUCCCCCAAGUUGCUGUAAGGCACUAACGAAACGGCGAUGCAACUCCUUUGACCAACAUCUCCUCUGCUUGCGAGAGCACUGCUGUUUCUGCUGCUGCAUUCCGG
This 641-nucleotide unclassified non-coding RNA is filed under the name Hevea brasiliensis (rubber tree). The record is from RNAcentral. Lineage: Eukaryota; Viridiplantae; Streptophyta; Magnoliopsida; Malpighiales; Euphorbiaceae.